GAGGGUGUAGCUCAGUGGUAGAGUGCAUGCCUAGCAUGCACGAGGUCCUGUGUUCAAUCCCCAGUGCCUCCA
RNAcentral lists this transfer RNA (72 nucleotides) under Camelus bactrianus (Bactrian camel). It matches the Rfam family "tRNA". From Rfam's summary of the family: Transfer RNA (tRNA) molecules are approximately 80 nucleotides in length. The record is from Rfam by way of RNAcentral. RNAcentral also lists the same sequence under 1 other name. Lineage: Eukaryota; Metazoa; Chordata; Mammalia; Artiodactyla; Camelidae.